CCCGCUGAACUUAAGCAUAUCAAUAAGCGGAGGAAAAGAAACUAACAAGGAUUCCCCUAGUAACUGCGAGUGAAGCGGGAAAAGCUCAAAUUUGAAAUCUGGCCUCUUUGAGGAAAAUGUAGUAGGGUUGUGGAGUAUAGAGUCCUUUGCGAUGGAAUCCUGGGUAUAAGUCUAUUGGAACAAGGUAUCAUAGAAGGUGAGAAUCUCGGCUUUGACUCAGAGUUUUCCAUUAUGUGAUGACGUCUUCAUAGAAGCUAGUUGUUUGGGAAUGCAGCUCAAAAUGGGUGGUAAAUCUCAUCUAAAGCUAAAUAUUAGCGAGAGACCGAUAGCAAACACCGACAGUGAGGGAAAGAUGAAAAGAACUUUGAAAGAGAGUUAAACAGUACGUGAAAUUGUUGAAAGGGAAACGUUUGAAGUCAGUCAUUUCUUCUGGAAAUCUGCCUUGUGUUUGCAUGGUGUAUUUUCCAGAAGAAAGGUUAACGUCAAUUUUGGUUGUCGGAUAAGAGCCUUUGGAAUUUGGCUCUCUUCGGGGAGUGUUAUAGCCAAGGCCACUUCGAUGACUGGGAUUGAGGAUUGGCCGCCAAUGCUCUCUGGGCACGGGCAUCAUACGCUCAGGUUAACUCUCCGCUAGACAGCUUGCUGACUAGUAGUUCGAAGAUAUGACUGGUGUGGUUCCCACUCACGGGCGUAGGACGCUAACAUAAUGGCUUUAAACGACCCGUCUUGAAACACGG
This 734-nucleotide ribosomal RNA is filed under the name uncultured fungus. RNAcentral's name for it is "eukaryotic LSU rRNA". It matches the Rfam family "Eukaryotic large subunit ribosomal RNA", at positions 24 to 664 of the family's 3401-position model. Lineage: Eukaryota; Fungi. The record is from RNAcentral.